RNAcentral lists this microRNA precursor (78 nucleotides) under Trichobilharzia regenti. Its description in RNAcentral is "mir-3492 microRNA precursor family". It matches the Rfam family "mir-3492 microRNA precursor family". Lineage: Eukaryota; Metazoa; Platyhelminthes; Trematoda; Strigeidida; Schistosomatidae. The record is from Rfam by way of RNAcentral.
AGCCCCCUGUAUUCGUGCUGAGAUUUCAUCAGAGAUCGACCCGUUGGGGCUGGUGGUACUCCCCUAAUAAGUGAAGCG